Mustela putorius furo (domestic ferret) is the source of this 117-nucleotide ribosomal RNA. The record is from Ensembl. NCBI's taxonomy places the organism in Eukaryota, Metazoa, Chordata, Mammalia, Carnivora, Mustelidae.
GUCUAUAGUCAUCCCACCCUGAACGCACCCAAUCUCGUCUGAUCUCGGAAGCUAAGUAGGGUUGGGCCUGGUUAGUACUUGGAUGGGAGAAAGAUCAUUCUGGUGGUCUGGUAGAAA